CGUUUCUUAUUAUAAAAGAAUUUGAUUUAUUUGUUCUUAAGUGGGUGGAAGUGACGACUAUUUGACUAACCGAAUAAGAGAACUCGUAUUCAAAUAAUCGAGGAGAGGAAUUGAAAACUCAAAGCCAUCCCCCUUUUCAUUUCCAAAUGAAAUGUUGUUUGAUUGUGAUUGGAUACGUUCUUUUAAUUUUUAAUGAAAAUACUCGACAUCGGAUCAAGGUUUUAAUUUUGUGUUUUAUGAAUAGAUUGGACUUUAUUUUAGUGAAUUGUUCAUUUACUCGAUUAUUCAAAAACCGAAUAGGUCUCAUUGUAAGAAAACCCAAGAGUAAGCUAUGUGAGGUUGAUGGCGAUGCUUUAAAAGCGAUCGACUUACAAAGGAUUUGUUUUGAGAGGGGGCUUGAUGUUAAAUCAAGAAUUGUGUGAUUUGUGUUUGUGGUUUGAAUGGUACGGAAUGUUAGUAAAGUUAUUUACAUGUGAGGAUGCAAACAUGAAUCAUCUAAAUAAUCAAUUAAACACAUGAGAUUGAUUAAACGAUUAAUUAAAUAAUUUGCUCAAUGAUUAGAAAAAUAAUUAAUUAUCUAAAAAAUAAUCAAUUAAAAAAAAUCCAUUUAUCAAAAUAUGAAUCAAAUUAAUAACUAUCUAAAAUUAAGAAAAUGGAGUUAUUUACAAAAUGUCAUCUAUAAUAAUUAAAUUACUUAGGUAAUCAUUUAAAUAUAAUUUGUUACUUAAUGAGUAAAUAACUUUUUAAAAAAUUAGAAAGUAUUUCUUCCUAUACUAGCUAUACCACAUACUAAUUUCCGGUUCUCGUCGAUCUAGUAAAUUAUAUAGGUUAUUCUUGCUUUGUAACAAUGUAAAAUUCUCAUAACAAUCCUAAACAAGACUAUAAUAAAACCAACUGAGGUCAAAUAAAAACGUUUUAAAAAAAUUAGAAUGAUGGUAGUAUAAAUGAUAUAACUUUGUGUCUCUCAUUCCCAUUUACUAUACCUAAUAUGCCAUUAACAAACAUAAAGACAUUCACAUGAUAUGGAUUAACAAAACGGUGAUUAAAAGGAAGAAAAAUAAAUAAGCAGUGCUAAUUAAAAGUGAUAGCAGCAGGAAACUGAAGUAAAACACAUUUUAAAAUGAUAGUAAACACUUUUCUCCUAGAGUUACCACAAACAACAGCAUUUAGGUUAAUCACUAUAAAACAUGAAUAUGACACUGAUGCAAUGAUAAGGAAAACAAAUCGAAACACAAGAAAGGCUUGUAUCAAAGCAGCACAAACAUAAUGCAACCCAAAUCUCGUCCAAGAUGCAAUGAUAAUGAAAACAAAUUGAAAUACAAGAAAGGCUUUUAGGGAGAAUAAUAAAAAAAAAACUAUAACAGUAGCAAUACCAAAACAAUACGUAAUAUAACCGAAGCCUCAUAUGAAUCCUCCAUAAAAUCAAAUUUUAGCAGCAAGCAUACUAACAUAAUAAUGUGCCAAAAUAAGAACAACUUAUAAUCAUUUAAAAAGUUAUUGCAAUAUCGACAUAAAUCCAACAUUUAUUCUGAAACACAUUAUGUCAUAAAAUAUAUGGAAUCGAAACAAAUUUAUGCAGUAAAGCCAAUACGUAAUGCAAUCCUAUAUUGAAACAAAGUUUGGAGUUAUAAACGUGAUUCAAUAACUAAAACAGAAUCAAAAUAUGAAACCAUUUGUAAUAGUAUUUUCGGUUCAAAAUAUUACCGAAUGCAGAACCGUGAGCGCUAUUU
This 1730-nucleotide long non-coding RNA is filed under the name Lathyrus oleraceus (garden pea). Its description in RNAcentral is "Pisum sativum (pea) long non-coding RNA (PSAT_LNC004980)". The record is from RNAcentral. Lineage: Eukaryota; Viridiplantae; Streptophyta; Magnoliopsida; Fabales; Fabaceae.